GAAGUUCUUACUGAUGUUUAGACAUAAUCUCCUUUCUUCUAACUUGAAGCCAUUGGUUUGAGUCCUAGCCUCUGGAGCUGGAGGAAAAAAAGCUUGCUCCAUCUUCCAUGGGACACCACAUUAAACAUUUGAAGAUGGCUAUCAUAUUUCUUUUCAAUCUCCUCUUUUCCAGGCUAAACAUGCCCAACUCCCUCAACC
Podarcis lilfordi (Lilford's wall lizard) is the source of this 198-nucleotide non-coding RNA. Lineage: Eukaryota; Metazoa; Chordata; Lepidosauria; Squamata; Lacertidae. The record is from the annotation of a GenBank genome assembly.